Molecule: transfer RNA, 87 nt
Filed under: Alphaproteobacteria bacterium
Lineage: Bacteria; Pseudomonadati; Pseudomonadota; Alphaproteobacteria
Description: tRNA-Leu
Rfam family: tRNA
About the family: Transfer RNA (tRNA) molecules are approximately 80 nucleotides in length. Their secondary structure includes four short double-helical elements and three loops (D, anti-codon, and T loops).
Source: RNAcentral
GCCCCCGUGGCGGAACCGGUAGACGCGGCGGAUUCAAAAUCCGCUUGCCAUUCGGCAGUGCCCGUUCGAGUCGGGCCGGGGGCACCA